This 253-nucleotide ribosomal RNA is filed under the name uncultured bacterium. RNAcentral's name for it is "partial 16S ribosomal RNA". It matches the Rfam family "Bacterial small subunit ribosomal RNA", at positions 524 to 776 of the family's 1533-position model. The record is from RNAcentral.
UACGUAGGGUGCAAGCGUUAAUCGGAAUUACUGGGCGUAAAGCGUGCGCAGGCGGUUUUGUAAGCCAGAUGUGAAAGCCCCGGGCUUAACCUGGGAAUGGCAUUUGGGACUGCAAGGCUGGAGUGUGGCAGAGGAGACUGGAAUUCCUGGUGUAGCAGUGAAAUGCGUAGAUAUCAGGAGGAACACCGAUGGCGAAGGCAGGUCUCUGGGCUGACACUGACGCUCAUGCACGAAAGCGUGGGGAGCAAACAGG